This 256-nucleotide ribosomal RNA is filed under the name uncultured bacterium. RNAcentral's name for it is "partial 16S ribosomal RNA". It matches the Rfam family "Bacterial small subunit ribosomal RNA", at positions 524 to 776 of the family's 1533-position model. The record is from RNAcentral.
UACGUAGGGGGGCAAGCGUUGUCCGGAUUUAUUGGGCGUAAAGAGCGUGUAGGCGGUUUGGUAGGUCCGUUGUGAAAACUCGAGGCUCAACCUCGAGACGCCGAUGGAAACCAUCAGACUAGAGUCCGGAAGAGGAGAGUGGAAUUCCUGGUGUAGCGGUGAAAUGCGCAGAUAUCAGGAAGAACACCCGUGGCUAAGGCGGCUCUCUAGUACGGUACUGACGCUGAGACGCGAAAAGCGUGGGGGAGCGAACAGG